RNAcentral lists this small RNA (605 nucleotides) under Pongo abelii (Sumatran orangutan). RNAcentral describes it as "retained intron". The record is from RNAcentral. Lineage: Eukaryota; Metazoa; Chordata; Mammalia; Primates; Hominidae.
CUCUCCUGUCCCCAGGACACGCUAGGCUCCUGGCAGCGCUGUGUGACCACGUGUGAGACAGCCCUGAAGCAAGGGAAACGGGUCGCCAUUGACAACACCAACCCGGACGCCGCGAGCCGCGGCAGGUAGCGGGGCAGGUAGCGGGGCCGCGGGGCCGUAGGGGGCCUGGGGUGGUGUGGGCGGGGCCUGCACAUCCAGCUCCUUCCACCACAGGUACGUCCAGUGUGCCCGAGCCGCGGGUGUCCCCUGCCGCUGCUUCCUCUUCACCGCCACUCUGGAGCAGGCGCGCCACAACAACCGGUUUCGAGAGAUGACGGACUCCUCUCAUGUCCCCGUGUCAGACAUGGUCAUGUAUGGCUACAGGUACUGUUGGGGAUACCAGGGGGCAGGGCACUGGCUGGGCCACGAGCCAGACUGUCCCUCACUGUUCCCACCACUGCCAGGAAGCAGUUCGAGGCCCCAACGCUGGCCGAAGGCUUCUCUGCCAUCCUGGAGAUCCCGUUCCGGCUAUGGGUGGAGCCGAGGCUGGGGCGGCUGUACCGCCAGUUCUCCGAGGGCUGAGCCCCGCCCAGCUCCCCUCCACAAUAAAUGCUGUUUCUCUUUGA